Molecule: ribosomal RNA, 26 nt
Filed under: Hyalinella punctata
Lineage: Eukaryota; Metazoa; Bryozoa; Phylactolaemata; Plumatellidae
Description: partial 12S ribosomal RNA
Source: RNAcentral
UAGGUGUACCGGAGGUGUACCUGACC